RNAcentral lists this ribosomal RNA (301 nucleotides) under uncultured bacterium. RNAcentral's name for it is "partial 16S ribosomal RNA". It matches the Rfam family "Bacterial small subunit ribosomal RNA", at positions 509 to 807 of the family's 1533-position model. The record is from RNAcentral.
CAGUAGCCGCGGUAAUACGAAGGGUGCAAGCGUUAAUCGGAAUUACUGGGCGUAAAGCGUGCGUAGGCGGUUUGUUAAGUCUGUUGUGAAAUCCCCGGGCUCAACCUGGGAAUGGCAAUGGAUACUGGCAAGCUAGAGUGUGUCAGAGGAUGGUGGAAUUCCCGGUGUAGCGGUGAAAUGCGUAGAGAUCGGGAGGAACAUCAGUGGCGAAGGCGGCCAUCUGGGACAACACUGACGCUGAGGCUCGAAAGCGUGGGGAGCAAACAGGAUUAGAUACCCCUGUAGUCCCUGUCUCUUAUAC